UGUCAUAGAAACGUGUAUGAGUUGAAGUUCUUUUGACAAAAGAAGGGAUAAAAAAUAAUGCAUG
Non-coding RNA from Caenorhabditis elegans, 64 nucleotides. The record is from Ensembl. Lineage: Eukaryota; Metazoa; Nematoda; Chromadorea; Rhabditida; Rhabditidae.